This 1435-nucleotide ribosomal RNA is filed under the name metagenome. RNAcentral describes it as "bacterial SSU rRNA". It matches the Rfam family "Archaeal small subunit ribosomal RNA". The record is from RNAcentral.
ACCCGUUGAUCCUGCGGGAGAACGCUGCUAUUUGAGUUCGAAUUAGCCAUGCAAGUCUGGGAGUCUUCGGACGACCGGCAGACUGCUCAGUAACACGUCAUUAAUCUGCCCUAUAGUCAGGGAUAGCCUCGGGAAACUGAGGGUAACACCUGAUAGUGUAUACAUGCUGGAAUGCAGUAUAUAUCAAACUCGUGCUAUAGGAUGGGAUGGCGGCUGAUUAGAUUGUUGGUGGGGUAACGGCCCACCAAGUCUAUGAUCAGUACGGGCCUUGAGAGAGGUAGCCCGGAGAGGGACACUGAGGAACUGGUCCCAGCCCUACGGGGUGCAGCAGGCGCGUAACCUUUACAAUGCACGCAAGUGUGAUAAGGGGACUCAAAGUGCUCAUGCUUUGCAUGGGCUUUUAUUAAGAGUAAAUAUCUUGAUGAAUAAGUGGUGGGCAAGACUGGUGCCAGCAGCCGCGGUAACACCAGCGCCACAAGUGGCGUUCGCGAUUAUUGGGCCUAAAGCGUCCGUAGCUGGUUCUGUAAGUUUUUUGUGAAAGAGUGGAGCUUAACUCUACUUCGUGCAAGAAAGACUGCAGGGCUUGAGACUGGAAGGAGUAAGAGGUAUUUCUGGGGGACUGGUAAAAUGGAAUAAUCCCAGAAGGACCACCAAUGGCGAAGGCAUCUUACUAGGACAGUUCUGACAGUGAGGGACGAAAGCCAGGGGAGCGAACCGGAUUAGAUACCCGAGUAGUCCUGGCCGUAAACGCUGUGUGUUAGGUGUUGCAGUUCCUAAGAGGACCUGCAGUGUCGUAGGGAAGCCGUUAAACACACCGCCUGGGAAGUACGGUCGCAAGGCUGAAACUUUAAGGAAUUGGCGGGGGAGCACCACAAGGGGUGCGGCGUGCUGUUUAAUCUAACUUUACGCAGAGAAUCUCACCAGAGGCGACUGCUCGAUGAUAGUCAGUCUAAAGGGCUUACUAGAGUAGCAGAGAGGUAGUGCAUGGCCGCCGUCAGCUCGUGCCGUGAGGUGUCCUGUUAAGUCAGGAAACGAGCGAGACCUGUAUCUAUAAUUGCCAGUGGCUACCACGGUAGGACCGGGCACAUUAUAGAGACUGCCUUGGAAACAAGGAGGAAGGUGCAGGCAACGGUAGGUCUGUAUGCUCCGAAUCUUCUGGGCUACAAGCGCGCAACAAUGGCGAAGACAAUGGGCUGCGACUCCGAGAGGGGAAGCCAAUCCUCGAAACUUCGUCUAAGUUCAGAUCGUGGAUUGUAACUCAUCCACGUGACGCUGGAAUCCCUAGUAAUCAGGUAUUAUCAGUGCCUGGUGAAUAUGUCCCUGCUCCUUGCACACACCGCCCGUCAUUCCAACCGAGCAGUGUUUAGGUGAGUACCAUGUGUAGUGCGUAGUACGAAUCUAAGCUCAGUGAGGCGGGACAAGUCGUCACAAGGUA